RNAcentral lists this transfer RNA (64 nucleotides) under Ameletus sp. 1 MT-2014. Its description in RNAcentral is "tRNA-Phe". Lineage: Eukaryota; Metazoa; Arthropoda; Insecta; Ephemeroptera; Ameletidae. The record is from RNAcentral.
GUUUAAAUAGCUUAUACAGAGCACAACACUGAAGAUGUUGGGGAAAUUCUUGGAUUUUUGGACA